UACGGAGGGUGCAAGCGUUGUCCGGAUUUAUUGGGUUUAAAGGGUGCGUAGGUGGCCUUCUAAGUCUGGUUUGAAAGUAGGUCGCUUAACGAUCUAAUGUGGCUGGAAACUGGGGGGCUUGAAUGCGUUGGCGGUAGCCGGAACGGGUCAUGUAGCGGUGAAAUGCAUAGAUAUGACCCAGAACACCGAUUGCGAAGGCAGGCUACUACGACUUGAUUGACACUGAGGCACGAGAGCAUGGGUAGCGAACAGG
Molecule: ribosomal RNA, 253 nt
Filed under: uncultured bacterium
Lineage: Bacteria
Description: partial 16S ribosomal RNA
Rfam family: Bacterial small subunit ribosomal RNA
Source: RNAcentral